This 28418-nucleotide long non-coding RNA is filed under the name Triticum aestivum (bread wheat). RNAcentral describes it as "long non-coding RNA (TAES_LNC019907)". Lineage: Eukaryota; Viridiplantae; Streptophyta; Magnoliopsida; Poales; Poaceae. The record is from RNAcentral.
AAAGCAUUCCUGGAAAUCUCGGCCCAAAAAAGGACGUUUAGUAAUUCUAAAAGGGACUACAGGAUGAAAAACAAUAGUUUUGGCAGUUAAAGUUUGAGAUUCGAUAAUGCCGUAGAUCCGUUUGGUCAUCAGGUGUAACGAGCCACACCCAUGUCUGGUUAGAGUAGUGUGCUAGGCUCAGACUAGAUAAGAAACGGGGAACAAACUGAUGAAAGAAUGAUCAUACCGAGCGAAUUCACUCAGAACUAACAAGAAUGAUAACAUGCUCCGACUGGAGCGGUUUAGGAACUGCUGGAAGGCUCUAGGGGAAUAAAGAUGGAAUGACUUCUAAUUUUUAGGUCCGUAUGAUUUGAAAUACUUGCACACAAACCACGCGAAAGCGUUCCUGGAAAUCUCAGCCCAAAAAAGGACGUUUAGUAAUUCUAAAAGGGACUACAGGAUGAAAAACAAUAGUUUUGGCAGUUAAAGUUUGAGAUUCGACAGUGCCGUAGAUCCGUUUGGUCAUCAGGUAUUACGAGCCACACCCAUGUCUAGCUAGAAUAGUGUGCUAGGCUCAGGCUAGAGAAGAAACGGGGAACAAACUGAUGAAAGAAUGAUCAAACCGAGGGAAUUCACUCAGAACUAACAAUAAUGAUAACGUGCUCCGACUGGUGCGGUUUAGGAACUGCUGGAAGGCUCUAGGGGAAUAAAGAUGGAAUGACUUCUAAUUUUUAGGUCCGUAUGAUUUGAAAUACUUGCACACAAACCGCGCGAAAGCGUUCCUGGAAAUCUCAGCCCAAAAAAGGACGUUUAGUAAUUUUAAAAGGGACUAUAGGAUGAAAAACAAUAGUUUUGGCAAUUAAAGUUUGAGAUUCGACGGUGUCGUAGAUCCGUUUGGUCAUCAGGUGUUACGAGCCACACCCAUGUCUAGCUAGAAUAGUAUGUCAGGCUCAGGUUAGAGUAGAAACGGGGAACAAACUGAUGAAAGAAUGAUCAUACCAAGGGAAUUCACUCAGAACUAUCAAGAAUGAUAACGUGCUCCGACUGGAGUGAUUUAGGAACUGCUGGAAGGCUCUAGGGGAAUAAAGAUGGAAUGACUUCUAAUUUUUACGUCCGUAUGAUUUGAAAUACUUGCACACAAAUCACGCAAAAGCGUUCCUGGAAAUCUCAGCCUAAAAAAGGACGUUUAGUAAUUCUAAAAGGGACUACAGGAUGAAAAACAAUAGUUUGGGCAGUUAAAAUUUGAGAUUCGACGGUGCCGUAGAUCCGUUUGGUCAUCAGGUGUUACGAGCGACACCCUUGUCUAGCUAGAAUAGUGUGUUAGGCUCAGACUAGAGAAGAAACGGGGAACAAAGUGAUGAAAGAAUGAUCAUACCGAGGGAAUUCACUCAGAACUAACAAGAAUGAUAACGUGCUCCGACUGGAGCGGUUUAGUAACUGCUGGAAGGCUCUAGGGGAAUGAAGAUGGAAUGACUUCUAAUUUUUAGGUCCGUAUGAUUUGAAAUACAUGCACACAAACCCUGAGAAAGCGUUCCUGGAAAUCUCGGUCGAAAAAAGGAUGUUUAAUAAUUCUAAAAGGGACUACCGGAUGAAAAACAAUAGUUUUGGCAGUUAAAGUUUGUGAUUCGAUGGUGCCGUAGAUCUGUUUGGUCAUCAGGUGUUACGAGCCACACCCAUGUCUAUCUAGAAUAGUGUGUUAGGCUCAGGCUAGAGCAGAAACGGGGAACAGACUUAUGAAAGAAUGAUCAUACCGAGGGAAUUCACUCAGAACUAACAAGAAUGAUAACGUGCUCCGACUGGCGCGGUUUAGGAACUGCUGGAAGGCUCUAGGGGAAUAAAGAUGGAAAGACUUCUAAUUUUUAGGUCCGUAUGAUUUGAAAUACUUGCACACAAACCGCACGAAAGCGUUCCUGGAAAUCUCAGCCUAAAAAGGAUGUUUAGUAAUUCUAAAAGGGACUACAAGAUGAAAAAUAAUAGUUUGGGCAGUUAAAAUUUGAGAUUCGACGAUGCCGUAGAUCCGUUUGGUCAUCAGGUGUUAUGAGCCACACCCAUGUCUAGCUAGAAUAGUGUGUUAGGCUCAGGCUAGAGAAGAAACGGGGAACAAACUGAUGAAAGAAUGAUCAUACCGAGGGAAUUCACUCAGAACUAACAAGAAUGAUAACGUGCUCCGACUGGAGCAGUUUAGAAACUGCUGGAAGGCUCUAAUGGAAUAAAGAUGGAAUGCCUUCAAAUUUCUAGGUCCGUAUGAUUUGAAAUACUUGCACACAAACCGCUCGAAAGCGUUCCUGGAAAUCUCAGCCCAAAAAAGGACGUUUAGUAAUUCUAAAAGGGACUACAGGAUGAAAAACAAUAGUUUUGGCAGUUAAAGUUUGAGAUUCGAUGGUGCCGUAGAUCCGUUUGGUCAUCAGGUGUAACGAGCCACACACAUGUCUAGCUAGAGUAGUGUGCUAGGCUCAGACUAGAGAAGAAACGGGGAACAAAGUGAUGAAAGAAUGAUCAUACCGAGGGAAUUCACUCAGAACUUACAAGAAUGAUAACGUGCUCCGACUGGAGCGCUUUAGUAACUGCUGGAAGGCUCUAGGCGAAUAAAGAUGGAAUGACUUCUAAUUUUUAGGUCCGUAUGAUUUGAAAUACUUGCACACAAACCACGCAAAACCGUUCCUAGAAAUCUCGGUCGAAAAAAGGACGUUUAGUAAUUCUAAAAGGGACUACAGGAUGAAAAACAAUAGUUUUGGCAGUUAAAGUUUGAGAUUCGAUGGUGCCGUAGAUCCGUUUGGUCAUCAGGUGUUACGAGCCACACCCAUGUCUAGCUAGAGUAGUGUGCUAGGUUCAGACUAGAGAAGAAACGGGGAACAAAGUGAUUAAAGAAUGAUCAUACCGAGGGAAUUCACUCAGAACUAACAAGAAUGAUAACGUGCUCCGACUGGAGCGGUUUAGGAACUGCUGGAAGGCUCUAGGGGAAUAAAGAUGGAAUGACUUCUAAUUUUUACGUCCGUAUGAUUUGAAAUACAUGCACACAAACCACGCAAAAGCGUUCCUGGAAAUCUCAGCCUAAAAAAGGACGUUUAGUAAUUCUAAAAGGGACUACAGGAUGAAAAAUAAUAGUUUGGGCAGUUAAAAUUUGAGAUUCGACGCUGCCGUAGAUCCGUUUGGUCAUCAGGUCUUACGAGCCACACCCAUGUCUAGCUAGAAUAGUGUGUUAGGCUCAGGCUAGAGAAGAAACGGGGAACAAACUGAUGAAAGAAUGAUCAUACCGAGGGAAUUCACUCAGAACUAACAAGAAUGAUAACGUGCUCCGACUGGAGCAGUUUAGAAACUCCUGGAAGGCUCUAGGGGAAUAAAGAUGGAAUGACUUCAAAGUUUUAGGUCCGUAUGAUUUGAAAUACUUGCACACAAACCGCGUGAAAGCGUUCCUGGAAAUCUCAACCCAAAAAAGGGCGUUUAGUAAUUCUAAAAGGGACUACAGGAUGUAAAACAAUAGUUUUGGCAGUUAAAGUUUGAGAUUCGAUGGUGCCGUAGAUCCGUUUGGUCAUCAGGUGUAACGAGCCACACCCAUGUCUAGCUAGAGUAGUGUGCUAGGCUCAGACUAGAGAAGAAACGGGGAACAAAGUGAUGAAAGAAUGAUCAUACCGAGGGAAUUCACUCAUAACUAACAAGAAUGAUAACGUGCUCUGACUUGAGCGGUUUAGGAACUGCUGGAAGGCUAUAGGGGAAUAAAGAUGGAAUGACUUCAAAUUUUUAGGUCCGUAUGAUCUGAAAUACUUGCACACAAACCGCGAGAAAGCGUUCCUGGAAAUCUCAACCCAAAAAAGGACGUUUAGUAAUUCUAAAAGGGACUACAGGAUGAAAAACAAUAGUUCUGGCAGUUAUUGUUUGAGAUUCGAUAAUCUCGUAGAUCCGUUUGGUCAUCAGGUGUAACGAGCCACACCCAUGUCUAGCUAGAGUAGUGUGCUAGGCUCAGACUAGAGAAGAAACGGGGAACAAACUGAUGAAAGAAUGAUCAUACCGAGGGAAUUCACUUAGAACUAACAAGAAUGAUAACGUGCUCCGACUGGAGCGGUUUAGGAACUGCUGGAAGGCUCUAGGGGAAUAAAGAAGGAACGACUUCUAAUUUUUAGGUCCGUAUGAUUUGAAAUAUGUGCACACAAACCACGAGAAAGCGUUCCUAGAAAUCUCGGCCCAAAAGAGGACGUUUAGUAUUCUAAAAGGGACUACAGAAUGAAAAACAAUAGUUUUGGCAGUUAAAGUUUGAGAUUUGACGGUGCCGUAGAUCUGUUUGGUCAUCAGGGGUUACGAGCCACACCCAUGUCUAGCUAGAAUAGUGUGUUAGGCUCAGGCUAGAAAAGAAACGGGGAACAAAGUGAUGAAAGAAUGAUCAUACCGAGGGAAUUCACUCAGAACUAACAAGAAUGAUAACAUGCUCCGACUGGAGCGGUUUAGGAACUGCUGGAAGGCUCUAGGGGAAUAAAGAUGGAAUGACUUCUAAUUUUUAGGUCCGUAUGAUUUGAAAUACUUGCACACAAACCGCGCGAAAGCGUUCCUGGAAAUCUCAGCCCAAAAAAGGACGUUUAGUAAUUCUAAAAGGGACUACAGGAUGAAAAACAAUAGUUUUGGCAGUUAAAGUAUGAGAUUCAACGGUGCCGUAGAUCCGUUUGGUCAUUAGGUGUUACGAGCCACACCCAUGUCUAGCUAGAAUAGUGUGCUAGGCUCAGGCUAGAGAAGAAACGGGGAACAAACUGAUGAAAGAAUGAUCAAACCGAGGGAAUUCACUCAGAACUAACAAUAAUGAUAACGUGCUCCGACUGGAGCGGUUUAGGAACUGCUGGAAGUCUCUAGGGGAAUAAAGAUGGAAUGACUUCUAAUUUUUACGUUCGUAUGAUUUGAAAAACUUGCCCAUAAACCGCGCGAAAGUGUUCCUGGAAAUCUCAGCCCAAAAAAGGACGUUUAGUAAUUUUAAAAGGGACUACACGAUGAAAAACAAUAGUUUUGGCAGGUAAAGUUUGAGAUUCGACAGUGCCGUAGAUCCGUUUGGUCAUCAGGUGUUACGAGCCACACCCAUGUCUAGCUAGAAUAGUAUGUUACGCUCAGGUUAGAGAAGAAACGGGGAACAAACUGAUGAAAGAUGAUCAUACCAAGGGAAUUCACUCAGAACUAACAAGAAUGAUAACGUGCUCCGACUGGAGCGGUUUAGGAACUGCUGGAAGGCUCUAGGGGAAUAAAGAUGGAAUGACUUCUAAUUUUUACGUCUGUAUGAUUUGAAAUACUUGCACACAAACAACGCAAAAGCAUUCCUGGAAAUCUCAUCCUAAAAAAGGACGUUUAGUAAUUCUAAAAGGGACUACAGGAUGAAAAAUAAUAGUUUGGGAAGUUAAAAUUUGAGAUUCGAUAGUGCCGUAGAUCCGUUUGGUCAUCAGGUGUUAGGAGCCACACCCAUGUCUAGCUAGAAUAGUGUGUUAGGCUCAGGCUAGAGAAGAAACAGGGAACAAACUGAUGAAAGAAUGAUCAUACCGAGGGAAUUCACUCAGAACUAGCAAGAAUGAUAACGUGCUCCGACUGGAGCAGUUUUGAAACUGCUGGAAGGCUCUAGGGGAAUAAUGAUGGAAUGACUUCUAAGUUUUUGGUCCGUAUGAUUUGAAAUACGUGCACACAAACCCAGAGAAAGUGUUCUUGGAAAUCUCGGCCGAAAAAAGGAUGUUUAAUAAUUCUAAAAGGGACUACAGGAUGAAAAACAAUAGUUUUGGCAGUUAAAGUUUGUGAUUCGAUGGUGCUGUAGAUCUGUUUGGUCAUCAGGUGUUAUGAGCCACACCCAUGUCUAGCUAGAACAGUGUGUUAGGCUCAGGCUAGAGCAGAAACGGGGAACAAACUUAUGAAAGAAUGAUCAUACCGAGGGAAUUCACUCAGAACUAACAAGAAUGAUAACGUGCUCCGACUGGAGAGGUUUAGGAACUGCUGGAAGGCUCUAGGGGAAUAAAGAUGGAAUGACUUCAAAUUUUUAGGUCUGUAUGAUCUGAAAUACUUGCACACAAACCGCGAGAAAGCGUUCCUGGAAAUCUCAGCCCAAAAAAGGACGUUUAGUGAUUCUAAAAGGGACUACGGGAUAAAAAACAAUAGUUUUGGCAGUUAAAGUUUGAGAUUCGAUAAUGCCGUAGAUCCGUUUGGUCAUCAGGUGUAACGAGCCACACCCAUGUCUAGCUAGAGUAGUGUGCUAGGCUCAUACUAGAGAAGAAAUGGGGAACAAACUGAUGAAAGAAUGAUCAUACCGAGGGAGUUCACUCAAAACUAACAUGAAUGAUAACGUGCUCCGACUGGAGCGGUUUAGGAACUGCUGGAAGGCUCUAGGGGAAUAAAGAUGGAAUGACUUCUAAUUUUUAGGUCCGUAUGAUUUGAAAUACAUGCACACAAACCCCAAGAAAGCGUUCCUGGAAAUCUCGCCCCGAAAAACGACGUUUAGUAAUUCUAAAAGGGACUAUAGGAUGAAAAACAAUAGUUUUGGCAGUUAAAGUUUGAGAUUUGACGGUGCCGUAGAUCUGUUUGGUCAUCAGGUGUUACGAGCCACACCCAUUUCUAGCUAGAAUAGUGUGUUAGGCUCAGGCUAGAAAAGAAACGGGGAACAAAGUGAUGAAAGAAUGAUCAUACCGAGGGAAUUCACUCAGAACUAACAAGAAUGAUAACAUGGUCCGACUGGAGCGGUUUAGGAACUGCUGGAAGGCUCUAGGGGAAUAAAGAUGGAAUGACUUCUAACUUUUAGGUCCGUAUGAUUUGAAUUACUUGCACACAAACCGCGCGAAAGCGUUCCUGGAAAUCUCAGCCCAAAAAAGGACGUUUAGUAAUUCUAAAAGGGACUACAGGAUGAAAAACAAUAGUUUUGGCAGUUAAAGUUUGAGAUUCGACGGUGCCGUAGAUCCGUUUGGUCAGCAGGUGUUACGAGCCACACCCAUGUCUAGCUAGAGUAGUGUGCUAGGUUCAGACUAGAGAAGAAAUGUUGGGGAACGUAGCAGAAAUUCAAAAUUUUCCUACGUGUCACCAAGAUCUAUCUAUGGAGAGACUAGCAACGAGGGAAGGAGAGUGCAUCUACAUACCCUUGUAGAUCGCUAAGCGGAAGCGUUCAAGUGAACGGGGUUGAUGGAGUCGUACUCGUCGUGAUUCAGCUCACCGAUGAUCCUAGUGCCGAACGGACGGCACCUCCGCGUUCAACACACGUACAGCUCGACGAUGUCUCCCACGCCUUGAUCCAGCAAGGAGAGAGGGAGAGGUUGAGGAAGACUCCAUCCAGCAGAAGCACAACGGCGUGGUGGUGAUGGAGGAGCAUGGCAAUCCUGCAGGGCUUCGCCAAGCACCUAUGGGAGAGGAGGAGGUGUCACGGGAGGGAGGGAGGCGCCAAGGGCUCAGGUAUAGAUGCCCUCCCUCCCCUCCACUAUAUAUAGGGGCAAGGGAGAGGGGGGAGGCGCAGCCUUGCCCCUUCCUCCAAGGAAGGGGUGCGGCUAAGAGGGGGGGAGGAGUCCAUCCUCCCCAAGGCACCUCGGAGGUGCCUUCCCCCUUUAGGACUCUCCCCUUUUUCCUAUAUCUUGGCGCAUGGGCCUCUAGGGGCUGGUUCCCUUGGCCCAUGUAGGCCCAGGCGCACCCCCUACAGCCCAUGUGGCCCCCCGGGGCAGGUGGCCCCACCUGGUGGGCCCCCGGGACCCUUCCGGUGGUCCCGGUACAAUACCGAUGACCCCGAAACUUGUCCCGAUGGCCGAAACAGGACUUCCUAUAUAUAAAUCUUUACCUCCGGACAAUUCCGGAACUCCUCGUGACGUCCGGGAUCUCAUCCGGGACUCCGAACAACAUUCGGUAACCACAUACAAACUUCCUUUAUAACCCUAGCGUCAUCGAACCUUAAGUGUGUAGACCCUACGGGUUCGGGAGACAUGUAGUCAUGACCGAGAUGUUCUCCGGUCAAUAACCAACAGCGGGAUCUGGAUACCCAUGUUGGCUCCCACAUGUUCCACGAUGAUCUCAUCGGAUGAACCACGAUGUCAAGGACUCAAUCAAUCCCGUAUACAAUUCCCUUUGUCUAGCGGUAUGGUACUUGCCCGAGAUUCGAUCGUCGGUAUACCGAUACCUUGUUCAAUCUCGUUACCGGCAAGUCUCUUUACUCAUUUCGUAACACAUCAUCCCGUGAUCAACCCCUUGGUCACAUUGUGCACAUUAUGAUGAUGUCCUACCGAGUGGGCCCAGAGAUACCUCUCCGUUUACACGGAGUGACAAAAUCCCAAUCUCGAUUCGUGCCAACCCAACAGACACUUUCAGAGAUACCCGUAGUGUACCUUUACAGCCACCCAGUUACGUUGUGACGUUUGGCACACCCAAAGCACUCCUACAGUAUCCGGGAGUUGCACAAUCUCAUGGUCUAAGGAAAUGAUACUUGACAUUAGAAAAGCUUUAGCAUACGAACUACAUGAUCUUGUGCUAGGCUUAGGAUUGGGUCUUGUCCAUCACAUCAUUCUCCUAAUGAUGUGAUCCCGUUAUCAACGACAUCCAAUGUCCAUGGUCAGGAAACCGUAACCAUCUAUUGAUUAACGAGCUAGUCAACUAGAGGCUUACUAGGGACAUGGUGUUGUCUAUGUAUCCACACAUGUAUCUAAGUUUCCUAUCAAUACAAUUCUAGCAUGGAUAAUAAACGAUUAUCAUGAACAAGGAAAUAUAAUAAUAAUCAAUUUAUUAUUGCCUCUAGGGCAUAUUUCCAACAGUCUCCCACUUGCACUAGAGUCAAUAAUCUAGUUCACAUCGAUAUGUGAUUAACACUCAAGGUCACAUUCCCAUGUGACUAACACCCAAGAGUUUACUAGAGUCAAUAAUCUAGUUCACAUUUACCAUGUGAUUAACACUUGAUGAGUUCUGGGUUUGAUCAUGUUAUGCUUGUGAGAGAGGUUAUAGUCAACGGGUCUGAACCUUUCAGAUCCGUGUGUGCUUUACAAAUCUCUAUGUCAUCUCCUAGAUGCAGCUACCACGUUCUAUUUGGAGCUAUUCCAAAUAACUGUUCUACUUGGAGCUAUUCUAAAUUGUUGCUCCAUUAUACGUAUCCGGUAUCUCUACUCAGAGCUAUCCGGAUAGGUGUUAAGCUUGCAUCGACGUAACCCUUUACGACGAACUCUUUUACCACCUCCAUAAUUGAGAAAAUUCCUUAGUCCACUAGUUACUAAGGAUAACUUUGACCGCUGUCCUGUGAUCCAUUCUUGGAUCACUCUUGUACCCCUUGACUGACUCAUGGUAAAGCACACUUCAGGUGCGGUACACAGCAUAGCAUACUGUAGAGCCUAUGUCUUAAGCAUAGGGGACGACCUUCGUUCCUUUCUCUCUAUUCUGCCAUGGUCGAGCUUUAAGUCUUAACUUCAUACCUUACAACUCAGGCAAGAACUCCUUCUUUGACUGAUCCAUCUUGAACACCUUCAAGAUCACGUCAAGGCAUGUGCUCACGUCAAGAUCACGUCGGUAUACCGAUACCUUGUUCAAUCUCGUUACCGGCAAGUCUCUUUACUCGUUCCGUAACACAUCAUCCCGUGAUCAACCCCUUGGUCACAUUGUGCACAUUAUGAUGAUGUCCUACCGAGUGGGCCCAGAGAUACCUCUCCGUUUACACGGAGUGACAAAAUCCCAAUCUCGAUUCGUGCCAACCCAACAGACACUUUCAGAGAUACCCGUAGUGUACCUUUAUAGCCACCCAGUUACGUUGUGACGUUUGGCACACCCAAAGCACUCCUACGGUAUCCGGGAGUUGCACAAUCUCAUGGUCUAAGGAAAUGAUACUUGACAUUAGAAAAGCUUUAGCAUACGAACUACAUGAUCUUGUGCUAGGCUUAGGAUUGGGUCUUGUCCAUCACAUCAUUCUCCUAAUGAUGUGAUCCCGUUAUCAACGACAUCCAAUGUCCAUGGUCAGGAAACCGUAACCAUCUAUUGAUUAACGAGCCAGUCAACUAGAGGCUUACUAGGGACAUGGUGUUGUCUAUGUAUCCACACAUGUAUCUGAGUUUCCUAUCAAUACAAUUCUAGCAUGGAUAAUAAACGAUUAUCAUGAACAAGGAAAUAUAAUAAUAAUCAAUUUAUUAUUGCCUCUAGGGCAUAUUUCCAACAGUCUCCCACUUGCACUAGAGUCAAUAAUCUAGUUCACAUCACCAUGUGAUUAACACUGACAGGUCACAUCACCAUGUGACCAACAUCCAAAGAGUCUUGGGUUUGAUCAUGUUGCUUGUGAGAGAGGUUAUAGUCAACGGGUCUGAACCUUUCAGAUCCGUGUGUGCUUUACAAAUCUCUAUGUCAUCUCCUAGAUGCAGCUACCACGUUCUAUUUGGAGCUAUUCCAAAUAACUGUUCUACUUGGAGCUAUUCUAAAUUGUUGCUCCAUUAUACGUAUCCGGUAUCUCUACUCAGAGCUAUCCGGAUAGGUGUUAAGCUUGCAUCGACGUAACCCUUUACGACGAACUCUUUUACCACCUCCAUAAUUGAGAAAAUUCCUUAGUCCACUAGUUACUAAGGAUAACUUUGACCGCUGUCCUGCGAUCCAUUCUUGGAUCACCCUUGUACCCCUUGACUGACUCAUGGUAAAGCACACUUCAGGUGCGGUACACAGCAUAGCAUACUGUAGAGCCUAUGUCUUAAGCAUAGGGGAUGACCUUCGUUCCUUUCUCUCUAUUCUGCCAUGGUCGAGCUUUAAGUCUUAACUUCAUACCUUACAACUCAGGCAAGAACUCCUUCUUUGACUGGUCCAUCUUGAACACCUUCAAGAUCAUGUCAAGGUAUGUGCUCAUUUGAAAGUACUAUUAAGCGUUUUGAUCUAUCCUUAUAGAUCUUGAUGCUCAAUGUUCAAGUAGCUUAAUCCAGGUUUUCCAUUGAAAACACUUUCCAAAUAACCCUAUAUGCUUUCCAGAAAUUCUACGUCAUUUCUGAUCAUUAAUAUGUCAACAACAUAUAAUCAUCAGAAAUUCUAUAGUGCUCCCACUCACUUCUUUGGAAAUACAAGUUUCUCAUAAACUUUGUAUACACCCAAAAUCUUUGAUCAUCAUCAAAGCAUACAUUCCAACUCCGAGAUGCUCACUCCAGUCCUCAGAAGGAUUGCUGGAGCUUUGCAUACUUAUUAGCAUAUUUCAGGAUAGACAAAACCUUCCAGUUGUAUCACAUACAACCUUUCCUCAAGAAUCGUCGACGAAACAAUGUUUUGACAUCCUAUCUGCAAGAUUUCAUAAAUAAUGCAGUAAUUGUUAAUAUAAUUCCAACAGACUCUUAGCAUCGCUACGAGUGAGAAAGUCUCAUUGUAGUCAACUCCUUGAACUUGUCAAAAAACAUCUUAACGACAAGUCGAGCUUUCUCAAUGGUGACACUUACCAUCAUUGUCUGUCUUCCUUUCAAAAUCCAUAUGUACCUAACAGCCUUACGACCAUCAAGUAGUUCUUCCAAAGUCUACACUUUGUUUUCAUACAUGGAUCCUCUCUCGGGUUUUAUGGCCAUGAGCCAUUUAUCGGAAUCCGGGCCCACCAUUGCUUCUCCAUAGCUCGUAGGUUCAUUGUUGUCUAGCAACAUGACUUCCAAGACAGGAUUACUGUACCACUCUGAAGUAGUACGUAUCCUUGUCACCCUACGAGGUUUGGGAGUGACUUGAUCUGAAGUUUCAUGAUCACUAUCAUAAGCUUCUACUUCAAUUGGUGUAGGUGCCACAGGAACAACUUCCUGUGCCCUGCUACACACUGGUUGAAGUGAUGGUUCAAUAACCUCAUCAAGUCUCCACCAUCCUCCCACUCAAUUCUUUCGAGAGAAACCUUUCCUCGAGAAAGGACCCAAUUCUAGAAACAAUUCAUAUUGCUUUCGGAUCUGAAUUAGGAAGUAUACCCAACUGUUUUGGGUGUCCUAUGAAGAUGUACUUUAUCCGCUUUGGUUUCGAGCUUAAUCCUGAAACUUUUUCACAUAAGUGUCGCAGCCCCAAACCUUUAAGAAACGACAACUUAGGUUUCUCUAAACCAUAAUUCAUACGGUGUCAUCUCAUCGGAAUUACGUGGUGCCCUAUUUAAAGUGAAUGUGGUUGUCUUUAAUGCCUAACCCAUAAACUAUCGUGGCAGUUCGAUAAGAGACAUCAUGGUAUGCAUCAUAUCCAAUAGGGUGCAACUAUGAUGUUCGGACACACCAUCACACUAUGGUGUUCCAGGCGGUAUUAAUUGUGAAACAAUUUCCACAAUGUCUUAAUUGUGUGCCAAAACUCGUAACUCAGAUACUCAUCUCUAUGAUCAUAUCAUAGACAUUUUAUCCUCUUGUCACAAUGAUCUUCUACUUCACUCUGAAAUUACUUGAACCAUUCAACAAUUCAGACUUGUGUUUCAUCAAGUAAAUAUUCUCAACAUCUACUCGAAUCAUCUGUGAAGUAAGAACAUAACGAUAUUCACUGCAUGCCUCAGCACUCAUUGGACUGCACACAUCAAAAUGUGUUACUUCCAACAAGUUGCUAUCUUGUUCCAUCUUACUGAAAACGAGGCUUUUCAGUCAUCUUGCCCAUGUGGUAUGAUUUGCAUGUCCCAAGUGAUUCAAAAAUCAAGUGAGUCAAAACGGUCCAUUUGCAUGGAGUUUCUUCAUGCAUAUACACCAAUAGACAUGGUUCGCAUGUCUCAAACUUUUCAAAAACGAGUGAGCCCAAAGAUCCAUCAAUAUGGAGCUUCUUCAUGCGUUUUAUACCGAUAUGACUUACGUGGUAGUGCCACAAGUAGGUGGUACUAUCAUUACUAUCUUUUGGCAUGAACAUGUGUAUCACUACGAUCGAGAUUUAAUAAACCAUUCAUUUUAGGUGUAAGACCAUUGAAGGUAUUAUUCAAAUAAACAGAGUAACCAUUAUUCUCCUUAAAUGAAUAACCGUAUUGCGAUAGACGUAAUCCAAUCAUGUCUAUGCUCAACGCAAACACCAAAUAACAAUUAUUUAGGUUUAACACCAAUCUCUUUGGUAGAGGGAGCGUGCGAUGCUUGAUCAUAUCAAGCAUGGAAAAACUUACAACACAUAUCGUCAGCUCACCUUUAGCUAGUCUCUGUUUAUUCCGUAGCCUUUUGUUUCGAGUUACUAACACUUAGCAACCGAACUGGUAUCUAAUACCCUGGUGCUACUAGGAGUACUAGCAAAGUACACAUUAACACAAUGUAUAUCCAAUAUACUUCUAUCGACCUUGCCAGCCUUCUUAUCUACCAAGUAUCUAGGGUAAUUCUGCUCUAGUAGUUGUUCCCCUUAUUACAGAAGCACUUAGUCUCGGGUUUGGGUUUUACCUUGGGUUUCUUCACUAGAGCAGCAGCUGAUUUGCCGUUUCAUGAAGUAUCCCUUCUUGCCCUUGCCCUUCUUGAAACUAGUGGUUCCACCAACCAUCAACAAUUGAUGCUCCUUCUUGAUUUCUACUUUCGCGGUGUCAAACAUCGCGAAUACCUCAAGGAUCAUCAUAUCUAUCCCUGAUAUGUUAUAGUUCAUCAUGAAGCUCUAACAGCUUGGUGGCAAUGACUUUGGAGAACCAUCACUAUCUCAUCUGGAAGAUCAACUCCCACUCGAUUCAAGCGAUUGUUGUACUCAGACAAUCUGAGCACAAGCUCAACGAUUGAGCUUUUCUCCCUUAGUUUGCAGGUUAAGAAAGUCAUCGGAGGUCUUAUACCUCUUGACAUGGGCACGAGCCUGAAAUCCCAAUUUCAGCCCUCAAAACAUCUCAUAUGUUUCGCGAUGUUUCAAAAACGUCUUUGGUGCCUCAACUCUAAACCGUUUAACUGAACUAUCACGUAGUUAUCAAAACGUGUAUGUCAGAUGUUCGCAACAACCACAGACAACGUUCGAGGUUCAGCACACUGAGCGGUGCAUUAAGGACAUAAGCCUUCUAUGAAGCAAUGAGGACAAUCCUCAGUUUACGGACCUAGUCCGCAUAAUUGCUACUAUCAACUUUCAACUAAUUUUUCUCUAGGAACAUAUCUAAACAGUAGAACUAUAGCGUGAGCUACGACAUAAUUUGCAAAAACCUUUUGACUAUGUUCAGGAUAAUUAAGUUCAUCUUAUGAACUCCCACUCAGAUAGACAUCCCUCUAGUCAUCUAAGUGAUUACAUGAUCCGAGUCAAACUAGGCCGUGUCCGAUCAUCACGUGAGACGGACUAGUCAUCAUCGGUGAACAUCUUCAUGUUGAUCGUAUCUUCUAUACGACUCAUGUUCGACCUUUCGGUCUUCGUGUUCCGAGGCCAUGUAUGUACAUGCUAGGCUCGUCAAGUUAACCCUAAGUGUUUCGCGUGUGUAAAUCUGUCUUACACCCGUUGUAUGUGAACGUUAGAAUCUAACACCCGAUCAUCACGUGGUGCUUCGAAACACGAACUGUCGCAACGGUGCACAGUUAGGGGAGAACACUUCUUGAAAUUGUUGUAAGGGAUCAUCUUAUUUACUACCGUCGUUCUAAGCAAAUAAGAUGUAUAAACAUGAUAAACAUCACAUGCAAUCAAAUAGUGACAUGAUAUGGCCAUCAUCACUUUGCUCCUUUUGAUCUCCAUCUUCGGGGCUCCAUGAUCAUCAUCGUCACCGGCAUGACACCAUGAUCUCCAUCAUCAUGAUCUCCAUCAUCGUGUCUUCAUGAAGUUGCCUCGCCAACUAUUACUUCUACUACUAUGGCUAACGGUUAGCAAUAAAGUAAAGUAAUUACAUGACGUUUAAGUUGACACGCAGGUCACAAAUGAAUAAAGACAACUCCUAUGGCUCCUGCCGGUUGUCAUACUCAUCGACAUGCAAGUCGUGAUUCCUAUUACAAGAACAUGAUCAAUCUCAUACAUCACAUAUAUCAUUCAUCACAUCCUUUUUGGCCAUAUCACAUCACAUAGCAUACCCUGCAAAAACAAGUUAGACGUCCUCUAAUUGUUGUUUGCAUGUUUUACGUGGCUGCUAUGGGUUUCUAGCAAGAACGUUUCUUACCUACGCAUGAACAACAACGUGAUAUGCCAAUUGCUAUUUACCCUUCAUAAGGACCCUUUUCAUCGAAUCCGAUCCGACUAAAGUGGGAGAGACAGACACCCGCCAGCCACCUUAUGCAACUAGUGCAUGUUUGUCGGUGGAACCGGUCUCACGUAAGCGUACGUGUAAGGUUGGUCCGGGCCGCUUCAUCCCACGAUGCCGCCGAAUCAAGAUAAGACUAGUAACGGCAAGCAUAUUGAACAAUAUCAACGCCCACAACUACUUUGUGUUCUACUCGUGCAAAGAAUCUACGCAAUAGACCUAGCUCAUGAUGCCACUGUUGGGGAACGUAGCAGAAAUUCAAAAUUUUCCUACGUGUCACCAAGAUCUAUCUAUGGAGAUACUAGCAACGAGGGAAGGAGAGUGCAUCUACAUACCCUUGUAGAUCGCUAAGCGGAAGCGUUCAAGUGAACGGGGUUGAUGGAGUCGUACUCGUCGUGAUUCAGAUCACCGAUGAUCCUAGUGCCGAACGGACGGCACCUCCGCGUUCAACACACGUACAGCUCGACGAUGUCUCCCACGCCUUGAUCCAGCAAGGAGAGAGGGAGAGGUUGAGGAAGACUCCAUCCAGCAGCAGCACAACGGCGUGGUGGUGAUGGAGGAGCGUGGCAAUCCUGCAGGGCUUCGCCAAGCACCUACGGGAGAGGAGGAGGUGUCACGGGAGGGAGGGAGGCGCCAAGGGCUCAGGUAUAGAUGCCCUCCCUCCCCUCCACUAUAUAUAGGGGCAAGGGAGAGGGGGAGGCGCAUCCUUGCCCCUUCCUCCAAGGAAGGGGUGCGGCUAAGAGGGGGGGAGGAGUCCAUCCUCCCCAAGGCACCUCGGAGGUGCCUUCCCCCUUUAGGACUCUCCCCUUUUUCCUAUAUCUUGGCGCAUGGGCCUCUAGGGGCUGGUGCCCUUGGCCCAUGUAGGCCAAGGCGCACCCCCCUACAGCCCAUGUGGCCCCCCGGGGCAGGUGGCCCCACCCGGUGGGCCCCCGGGACCCUUCCGGUGGUCCCGGUACAAUACCGAUGACCCCGAAACUUGUCCCGAUGGCCGAAACAGGACUUCCUAUAUAUAAAUCUUUACCUCCGGACCAUUCCGGAACUCCUCGUGACGUCCGGGAUCUCAUCCGGGACUCCGAACAACAUUCGGUAACCACAUACAAACUUCCUUUAUAACCCUAGCGUCAUCGAACCUUAAGUGUGUAGACCCUACGGGUUCGGGAGACAUGUAGUCAUGACCGAGAUGUUCUCCGGUCAAUAACCAACAGCGGGAUCUGGAUACCCAUGUUGGCUCGCACAUGUUCCACGAUGAUCUCAUCGGAUGAACCACGAUGUCAAGGACUCAAUCAAUCCCGUAUACAAUUCCCUUUGUCUAGCGGUAUGGUACUUGCCCGAGAUUCGAUCGUCGGUAUACCGAUACCUUGUUCAAUCUCGUUACCGGCAAGCCUCUUUACUCGUUCCGUAACACAUCAUCCCGUGAUCAACCCCUUGGUCACAUUGUGCACAUUAUGAUGAUGUCCUACCGAGUGGGCCCAGAGAUACCUCUCCGUUUACACGGAGUGACAAAAUCCCAAUCUCGAUUCGUGCCAACCCAACAGACACUUUCAGAGAUACCCGUAGUGUACCUUUAUAGCCACCCAGUUACGUUGUGACGUUUGGCACACCCAAAGCACUCCUACGGUAUCCGGGAGUUGCACAAUCUCAUGGUCUAAGGAAAUGAUACUUGACAUUAGAAAAGCUUUAGCAUACGAACUACAUGAUCUUGUGCUAGGCUUAGNNNNNNNNNNUGAUCAACCCCUUGGUCACAUUGUGCACAUUAUGAUGAUGUCCUACCGAGUGGGCCCAGAGAUACCUCUCCGUUUACACGGAGUGACAAAAUCCCAAUCUCGAUUCGUGCCAACCCAACAGACAUUUUCAGAGAUACCCGUAGUGUACCUUUAUAGCCACCCAGUUACGUUGUGACGUUUGGCACACCCAAAGCACUCCUACGGUAUCCGGGAGUUGCACAAUCUCAUGGUCUAAGGAAAUGAUACUUGACAUUAGAAAAGCUUUAGCAUACGAACUACAUGAUCUUGUGCUAGGCUUAGGAUUGGGUCUUGUCCAUCACAUCAUUCUCCUAAUGAUGUGAUCCCGUUAUCAACGACAUCCAAUGUCCAUGGUCAGGAAACCGUAACCAUCUAUUGAUUAACGAGCUAGUCAACUAGAGGCUUACUAGGGACAUGGUGUUGUCUAUGUAUCCACACAUGUAUCUGAGUUUCCUAUCAAUACAAUUCUAGCAUGGAUAAUAAACGAUUAUCAUGAACAAGGAAAUAUAAUAAUAAUCAAUUUAUUAUUGCCUCUAGGGCAUAUUUCCAACAAGAAACGGGGAACAAACUGAUGAAAGAAUGAUCAUACCGAGGGAAUUCACUCAGAACUAACAAGAAUGAUAACGUGCUUUGACUGGAGCGGUUUAAAAACUGCUGGAAGGCUCUAGGGGAAUAAAGAUGGAAUGCCUUCAAAUUUCUAGGUCCGUAUGAUUUGAAAUACUUGCACACAAACCGCGCGAAAGCGUUCCUGGAAAUCUCAGCCCAAAAAAGGACGUUUAGUAAUUCUAAAAGGGACUACAGAAUGAAAAACAAUAGUUUUGGCAGUUAAAGUUUGAGAUUCGAUGGUGCCGUAGAUCCGUUUGGUCAUCAGGUGUAACGAGCCACACCCAUGUCUAGCUAGAGUAGUGUGCUAGGCUCAGGCUAGAGAAGAAACGGGGAACAAACUGAUGAAAGAAUGAUCAUACCGAGGGAAUUCACUCAGAACUAACAAGAAUGAUAACGUGCUCCGACUGGAGCGGUUUAGGAACUGCUGGAAGGCUCUAGGGGAAGAAAGAAGGAAUGACUUCUAAUUUUUAGGUCCGUAUGAUUUGAAAUACGUGCACACAAACCGCGCGAAAGCGUUCCUGGAAAUCUCAGCCCAAAAAAGGACGUUUAGUAUUCUAAAAGGGACUACAGAAUGAAAAACAAUAGUUUUGGCAGUUAAAGUUUGAGAUUCGACGGUGCCGUAGAUCCGUUUGGUCAUCAGGUGUUACGAGCCACACCCAUGUCUAGCUAGAAUAGUGUGCNNNNNNNNNNNNNNNNNNNNNNNNNCGUAUGAUUUGAAAUACGUGCACACAAACCGCGCGAAAGCGUUCCUGGAAAUCUCAGCCCAAAAAAGGACGUUUAGUAUUCUAAAAGGGACUACAGAAUGAAAAACAAUAGUUUUGGCAGUUAAAGUUUGAGAUUCGACGGUGCUGUAGAUCCGUUUGGUCAUCAGGUGUUACGAGCCACACCCAUGUCUAGCUAGAAUAGUGUGCUAGGCUCAGGCUAGAGAAGAAAAGGGGAACAAACUAAUGAAAGAAUGAUCAAUACGAGGGAAUUCACUCAGAACUAACAAUAAUGAUAACGUGCUCCGACUGGAGCGGUUUAGGAACUGCUGGAAGGCUCUAGGCGAAUAAAGAUGGAAUGACUUCUAAUUUUUACGUCCGUAUGAUUUGAAAUACUUGCACACAAACCACGCAAAAGCGUUCCUGGAAAUCUCGGCCUAAAAAGGACGUUUAGUAAUUCUAAAAGGGACUACAGGAUGAAAAAUAAUAGUUUGGGCAGUUAAAAUUUGAGAUUCGACGGUGCCGUAGAUCCGUUUGGUCAUCAGGUGUUACGAGCCACACCCAUGUCUAGCUAGAAUAGUGUGUUAGGCUCAGGCUAGAGAAGAAACGAGGAACAAACUGAUGAAAGAAUGAUCAUACCAAGGGAAUUCACUCAGAACUAACAAGAAUGAUAACGUGCUCCGACUGGAGCAGUUUAGAAACUGCUGGAAGGCUCUAGGGGAAUAAAGAUGGAAUGACUUCUGAUUUUUAGGUCCGUAUGAUUUGAAAUACGUGCACACAAACCCCGCGAAAGCGUUCCUGGAAAUCUCAGCCCAAAAAAGGACGUUUAGUAAUUCUAAAAGGGACUACAACAUGAAAAACAAUAGUUUUGGCAGUUAAAGUUUGAGAUUUCAUGGUGCCGUAGAUCUGUUUGGUCAUCAGGUGUUACGAGCCACACCCAUGUCUAGCUAGAAUAGUGUGUUAGGCUCAGGCUAGAAAAGAAACGGGAAACAAAGUGAUGAAAGAAUGACCAUACCGAGGGAAUUCACUCAGAACUAACAAGAAUGAUAACAUGCUCCGACUUGAGCGGUUUAGGAACUGCUGGAAGGCUCUAGGGGAAUAAAGAUGGAAUGACUUCUAAUGUUUAGGUCCGUAUGAUUUGAAAUACUUGCACAUAAACCGCACAAAAGCGUUCCUGGAAAUCUCAGCCCAAAAAAGGACGUUUAGUAAUUCUAAAAGGGACUACAGGAUGAAAAACAAUAGUUUUGGCAGUUAAAGUUUGAGAUUCGACGGUGCCGUAGAUCCGUUUGGUCAUCAGGUGUUACGAGCCACACCCAUGUCUAGCUAGAAUAGUGUGUUAGGCUCAGGCUAGAGAAGAAACUUGGAACAAACUGAUGAAAGAAUGAUCAAACCAACGGAAUUCACUCAGAACUAACAAUAAUGAUAACGUGCUCCGACUGGAGCAGUUUAGGAACUGCUGGAAGGCUCUAGGGGAAUAAAGAUGGAAUGACUUCUAAUUUUUAGGUCCGUAUGAUUUGAAAUACUUGCACGCAAACCGCGCGAAAGCGUUCCUGGAAAUAUCAGCCCAAAAAAGGACGUUUAGUAAUUCUAAAAGGGACUACAGGAUGAAAACAAUAGUUUUGGCAGUUAAAGUUUGAGAUUCAACAGUGCCGUAGAUCCGUUUGGUCAUCAGGUGUUAUGAGCCAUACCCAUGUCUAGCUAGAGUAGUGUGCUAGGCUCAGGCUAGAGAAGAAACAGGGAACAAACUGAUGAAAGAAUGAUCAUACCGAGGGAAUUCACUCAGAACUAACAAGAAUGAUAACGUGCUCCGACUGGAGCGGUUUAGGAACUGCUGGAAGGCUCUAGGGGAAUAAAGAUGGAGUGACUUCUAAAUUUUUAGGUCCGUAUGAUUUAAAAUACUUGCACACAAACCGCACGAAAGCGUUCCUUGAAAUCUCAGCCCAAAAAAGGACGUUUAGUAAGUCUAAAAGGGACUAUAGGAUGAAAAACAAUAGUUUUGGCAGUUAAAGUUUGAGAUUCGAUGGUGCCGUAGAUCUGUUUGGUCAUCAGGUGUUACGAGCCACACCCAUGUCUAGUUGGAAUAGUGUGCUAGGCUCAGACUAGAGAAGAAACAGGGAACAAACUGAUGAAAGAAUGAUCAAACCGAGGAAAUUCACUCAGAACUAACAAUAAUGAUAACAUGCUCCGACUGGAGCGGUUUAGGAACUGCUGGAAGGCUCUAGGGGAAUAAAGAUGGAAUGACUUCUAAAUUUUUAGGUCCGUAUGAUUUGAAAUAGUUGCACACAAACUGCGCGAAAGCGUUCCUGGAAAUCUCAGCCCAAAAAAGGACGUUUAGUAAUUCUAAAAGGGACUAUAGGAUGAAAAACAAUAGUUUUGGCAGUUAAAGUUUGAGAUUCGACGGUGCCGUAGAUCCGUUUGGUCAUCACGUGUUACAAGCCACACCCAUGUCUAGCUAGAGUAGUGUGCUAGGCUCAGACUAUAGAAGAAACGGGGACCAAACUGAUGAAAGAAUGAUCAAACCGAGGAAAUUCACUCAGAACUAACAAUAAUGAUAACAUGCUCCGACUGGAGCGGUUUAGGAACUACUGGAAGGCUCUAGGGGAAUAAAGAUGGAAUGACUUCUAAAUUUUUAGGUCCGUAUGAUUUUAAAUAGUUGCACACAAACUGCGCGAAAGCGUUCCUGGAAAUCUCAGCCCAAAAAAGGACGUUUAGUAAUUCUAAAAGGGACUACAGGAUGAAAAACAAUAGUUUGGGCAGUUAAAAUUUGAGAUUCGACGGUGCCGUAGAUCCGUUUGGUCAUCAGGUGUUACGAGCCACACCCAUGUCUAGCUAGAGUAGUGUGCUAGGCUCAGGCUAGAGAAGAAACAGGGAACAAACUGAUGAAAGAAUGAUCAUACCGAGGGAAUUCACUCAGAACUAACAAGAAUGAUAACGUGCUCUGACUGGAGCGGUUUAAGAACUGUUGGAAGGCUCUAGGGGAAUAAAGAUGGAAUCACUUCAAAUUUUUACGUCCGUGUGAUUUGAAAUACUUGCACACAAACCGCACGAAAGCGUUCCUGGAAAUCUCAGCCCAAAAAAGGACGUUUAGUAAGUCUAAAAGGGACUACACGAUGAAAAACAAUAGUUUUGGCAGUUAAAGUUUGAGAUUCGACAGUGCCGUAGAUCCGUUUGGUCAUCAGGUGUAACGAGCCACACCCAUGUCUAGAUAGAGUAGUGUGCUAGGCUCAAACUAGAGAAGAAACGGGGAACAAACUGAUGAAAGAAUGAUCAUACCGAGGGAAUUCACUCAGAAAUAACAAGAAUGAUAACGUGCUCUGACUGGAGCGGUUUAGGAACUGCUGGAAGGCUCUAGGGGAAUAAAGAAGGAAUGACUUCUAAUUUUUAGGUCCGUAUGAUUUGAAAUACGUGCACACAAACCCCGAGAAAGCGUUCCUGGAAAUCUCGACCCAAAAAAGGACGUUUAGUAAUUCUAAAAGGGACUACGGGAUGAAAAACAAUAGUUUUGGCAGUUAAAGUUUGAGAUUCGAUAAUGCCGUAGAUCCAUUUGGUCAUCAGGUGUAACGAGCCACACCCAUGUCUAGCUAGAGUAGUGUGCUAGGCUCAGACUAGAGAAGAAACAGGGAACAAACUGAUGAAAGAAUGAUCAUAUCGAGGGAAUUCACUCAGAACUAACAAGAAUGAUAACAUGCUCCGACUUGAGCGGUUUAGGAACUGCUGGAAGGCUCUAGGGGAAUAAAGAUGGAAUGACUUCUAAUUUUUAGGUCCGUAUGAUUUGAAAUACUUACACACAAACCACGCGAAAGCGUUCCUGGAAAUCUCAGCCCAAAAAAGGACGUUUAGUAAUUCUAAAAGGGACUACAUGAUGAAAAACAAUAGUUUUCGCAGUUAAAGUUUGAGAUUCGACGGUGCCGUAGAUCCGUUUGGUCAUCAAGUGUUACGAGCCACACCCAUGUCUAGCUAGAAUAGUGUGUUAGGCUCAGCCUAGAGAAGAAACGGGGAACAAACUGAUGAAAGAAUGAUCAUACCGAGGGAAUUCACUCAGAACUUACAAGAAUGAUAACGUGCUCCGACUUGAGCGGUUUAAGAACUGUUGGAAGGCUCUAGGGGAAUAAAGAUGGAAUCACUUCAAAUUUUUACGUCCGUGUGAUUUGAAAUACUUGCACACAAACCCCGAGAAAGCGUUCCUGGAAAUCUCGGCCGAAAAAAGGAUGUUUAAUAAUUCUAAAAGGGACUACAGGAUGAAAAACAAUAGCUUUGGCAGUUAAAGUUUGUGAUUCGAUGGUGCCGUAGAUCUGUUUGGUCAUCAGGUGUUAUGAGCCACACCCAUGUCUAGCUAGAAUAGUGUGUUAGGCUCAGGCUAGAGCAGAAACUAGGAACAAACUUAUGAAAGAAUGAUCAUACCGAGGGAAUUCACUCAGAACUAACAAGAAUGAUAACGUGCUCCGACUGGAGCGGUUUAGGAACUGCUGGAAGGCUCUAGGGGAAUAAAGAUGGAAUGACUUCUAAUUUUUAGGUCCGUAUGAUUUGAAAUACAUGCACACAAACCCCAAGAAAGCGUUCCUAGAAAUCUCAGCCCAAAAAGGACGUUUAGUAAUUCUAAAAGGGACUACAGGAUGAAAAACAAUAGGUUUGGCAGUUAAAGUUUGAGAUUCGAUAAUGCCGUAGAUCCGUUUGGUCAUCAGGUGUAACGAGCCACACCCAUGUCUAGCUACAUUAGUGUGCUAGGCUCAGACUAGAGAAGAAACGGGGAACAAACUGAUGAAAGAAUGAUCAUACCGAGGGAAUUCACUCAGAACUAACAAGAACGAUAACAUGCUCCGACUGCAGCGGUUUAGGAACUGCUGGAAGGCUCUAGGGGAAUAAAGAAGGAAUGACUUCUAAUUUUUAGGUCCGUAUGAUUUGAAAUACUUGCACACAAACCGCGCGAAAGCAUUCCUGGAAAUCUCAGCCCAAAAAAGGACGUUUAGUAAUUCUAAAAGGGACUACAGGAUGAAAAACAAUAAUUUUGGCAGUUAAAGUUUGAGAUUCGACGGUGCCGUAGAUCCGUUUGGUCAUCAGGUGUUACGGGCCAUACCCAUGUCUAGCUAGAAUAGUGUGUUAGGCUCAGGUUAGAGAAGAAACGGGGAACAAAGUGAUGAAAGAAUGAUCAUACCGAGGGAAUUCACUCAGAACUAACAAGAAUGAUAACGUGCUCCGACUGGAGCGGUUUAGGAAUUGCUGGAAGGCUCUAGGGGAAUAAAGAUGGAAUGACUUCUAUAUUUUACGUCCGUAUGAUUUGAAAUACUUGCACACAAACCACGCAAAAGCACUCCUGGAAAUAUCAGCCUAAAAAGGAUGUUUAGUAAUUCUAAAAGGGACUACAGGAUGAAAAAUAAUAGUUUUGGCAGUUAAAAUUUGAGAUUCAACGGUGCCGUAAAUCCGUUUGGUCAUCAGGUGUUACGAGCCACACCCAUGUCUAGCUAGAAUAGUGUGUUAGGCUCAGGUUAGAGAAGAAACGGGGAACAAACUGAUGAAAGAAUGAUCAUACAAGGGGAAUUCACUCAGAACUAUCAAGAAUGAUAACGUGCUCCGACUGGAGCAGUUUAGGAACUGCCGGAAGGCUCUAGGGGAAUAAAGAUGGAAUGACUUCUAAUUUUUAUGUCCGUAUGAUUUGAAAUACUUGCACACAAACCACGCAAAAGCGUUCCUGGAAAUCUCAGCCUAAAAAGGACGUUUAGUAAUUCUAAAAGGGACUACAGGAUGAAAAACAAUAGUUUGGGCAGUUAAAAUUCGAGAUUCGACGGUGCCGUAGAUCCGUUUGGUCAUCAGGUGUUACGAGCCACACCCAUGUCUAGCUAGAAUAGUGUGUUAGGCUCAGGCUAGAGAAGAAACGGGGAACAAACUGAUGAAAGAAUGAUCAUAUCGAGGGAAUUCACUCAGAACUAACAAGAAUGAUAACGUGCUCCGACUGGAGCGGUUUAGUAACUGCUGGAAGGCUCUAGGGGAAUAAAGAUGGAAUGACUUCUAAUUAUUAGGUCCGUAAGAUUUGAAUUACAUGCACACAAACCCCGAGAAAGCGUUCCUGGAAAUCUCGGUCGAAAAAAGGAUGUUUAGUAAUUCUAAAAGGGACUACAGGAUGAAAAACAAUAGUUUUGGCAGUUAAAGUUUGUGAUUCGAUGGUGCCGUAGAUCUGUUUGGUCAUCAGGUGUUACGAGCCACACCCAUGUCUAGCUAGAAUAGUGUGUUAGGCUCAGGCUAGAGCAGAAACGGGGAACAAACUUAUGAAAGAAUGAUCAUGCCGAGGGAAUUCACUCAGAACUAACAAGAAUGAUAACGUGCUCCGACUGGAGCGGUUUAGGAACUGCUGGAAGGCUCUAGGGGAAUAAAGAUGGAAUGACAUCAAAUUUUUAGGUCCGUAUGAUUUGAAAUACUUGCACACAAACCGCAAGAAAGCGUUCUUGGAAAUCUCCGCCCAAAAAAGGACGUUUAGUAAUUCUAAAAGGGUCUACAGGAUGAAAAACAAUAGUUCUGGCAGUUAAAGUUUGAGAUUCGAUAAUGUCGUAGAUCCGUUUGGUCAUCAGGCGUAACGAGCCACACCCAUUUCUAGCUAGAGUAGUGUGCUAGGCUCAGACUAGAGAAGAAACGGGGAACAACCUGAUGAAAGAAUGAUCAUACCGAGGGAAUUCACUCAGAACUAACAAGAAUGAUAACGUGCUCCGACUGGAGCGGUUUAGGAACUGCUGGAAGGCUCUACGGGAAUAAAGAAGGAAUGACUUCUAAUUUUUAGGUCCGUAUGAUUUGAAAUACGUGCACACAAACCCCGAGAAAGCGUUCCUGGAAAUCUCGGCCCAAAAAAGGACGUUUAGUAUUCUAAAAGCGACUACAGAAUGAAAAACAAUAGUUUUGGUAGUUAAAGUUUGAGAUUUAACGGUGCCGUAGAUCUGUUUGGUCAUCAGGUGUUACGAGCCACACCCAUGUCUAGCUAGAAUAGUGUGUUAGGCUCAGGCUAGAUAAGAAACAGGGAACAAAGUGAUGAAAGAAUGAUCAUACCAAGGGAAUUCACUCAGAACUAACAAGAACGAUAACAUGCUCCGACUGGAGUGGUUUAGGAACUGCUGGAAGGCUCUAGGGGAAUAAAGAUGGAAUGACUUCUAAUUUUUAGGUCUGUAUGAUUUGAAAUACUUGCACACAAACCGCACGAAAGCGUUCCUGGAAAUCUCAUCCCAAAAAAGGACGUUUAGUAAUUCUAAAAGGGACUACAGGAUGAAAAACAAUAGUUUUGGCAGUUAAAGUUUGAGAUUCGAUAAUGCUGUAGAUCCGUUUGGUCAUCAGGUGUAACGAGCCACACCCAUGUCUAGCUAGAGUAGUGUGCUAGGCUCAGACUAGAGAAGAAACGGGGAACAAACUGAUGAAAGAAUGAUCAUACCGAGGGAAUUCACUCAGAACUAACAAUAAUGAUAACGUGCUCCGACUGGAGCGGUUUAGGAACUGCUGGAAGGCUCUAGGGGAAUAAAGAUGGAAUGAGUUCUAAUUUUUAGGUCUGUAUGAUUUGAAAUACUUGCACACAAACCGCGUGAAAGCAUUCCUGGAAAUUUCAGCCCAAAAAAGGACGUUUAGUAAUUUUAAAAGGGACUACACGAUGAAAAACAAUAGUUUUGGCAGUUAAAGUUUGAGAUUCGACGGUGCCGUAGAUCCGUUUGGUCAUCAGGUGUUACGAGCCACACCCAUGUCUAGCUAGAAUAGUAUGUUAGGCUCGGGUAAGAGAAGAAACGGGGAACAAACUGAUGAAAGAAUGAUCAUACCAAGGGAAUUCACUCAGAACUAACAAGAAUGAUAACGUGCUCCGACUGGAGCGGUUUAGGAACUGCUGGAAGGCUCUAGGGGAAUAAAGAUGGAAUGACUUCUAAUUUUUACGUUCGUAUGAUUUGAAAUACUUGCACACAAACCACGCAAAAGCGUUCCUGGAAAUCUCAUCCUAAAAAAGGACGUUUAGUAAUUCUAAAAGGGACUACAGGAUGAAAAAUAAUAGUUUGGGCAGUUAAAAUUUGAGAUUCGACGGUGCCGUAGAUCCGUUUGGUCAUCAGGUGUUACGAGCCACACCCAUGUCUAGCUAGAAUAGUGUGUUAGGCUCAGGCUAGAGAAGAAACGGGGAACAAACUGAUGAAAGAAUGAUCAUAUCGAGGGAAUUCACUCAGAACUAACAAGAAUGAUAACGUGCUCCGACUGGAGCAGUUUAGAAACUGCUGGAAGGCUCUAGGGGAAUAAAGAUGGAAUGACUUCUAAUUUUUAGGUCUGUAUGAUUUGAAAUACGUGCACACGAACCCCGAGAAAGCGUUCCUGGAAAUCUCGGCCCAAAAAAGGACGUUUAGUAAUUCUAAAAGGGACUACAGGAUGAAAAACAAUAGUUUUGGCAGUUAAAGUUUGAGAUUCGACGGUGCCGUAGAUCCGUUUGUUCAUCAGGUGUUACGAGCCACACCCAUGUCUAGCUAGAAUAGUGUGUUAGGCUCAGGCUAGAGAAGAAACGGGGAACAAACUGAUGAAAGAAUGAUCAUACCGAGGGAAUUCACUCAGAACUAACAAGAAUGAUAACGUGCUCCGACUGGAGCGGUUUAGGAACUGCUAGAAGGCUCUAGGGGAAUAAAGAAGGAAUGACUUCUAAUUUUUAGGUCCGUAUGAUUUGAAAUACGUGCACACAAACCCCGAGAAAGCGUUCCUGGAAAUCUUGGCCCAAAAAAGGACGUUUAGUAUUCUAAAAGCGACUACAGAAUGAAAAACAAUAGUUUUGCUAGUUAAAGUUUGAGAUUUGAUGGUGCCGUAGAUCUGUUUGGUCAUCAGGUUUUACGAGCCACACCCAUGUCUAGCUAGAAUAGUGUGUUAGGCUCAGGCUAGAAAAGAAACAGGGAAUAAAGUGAUGAAAGAAUGAUCAUACCAAGGGAAUUCACUCAGAACUAACAAGAACGAUAACAUGCUCCGACUGGAGUGGUUUAGAACUGCUGGAAGGCUAAAGGGGAAUAAAGAUGGAAUGACUUCUAAUUUUUAGGUCCGUAUGAUUUGAAAUACUUGCACACAAACCGCACGAAAGUGUUCCUGGAAAUCUCAGCCCAAAAAAGGACGUUUAGUAAUUCUAAAAGGGACUACAGGAUGAAAAACAAUAGUUUUGGCAGUUAAAGUUUGAGAUUCGAUAAUGACGUAGAUCCGUUUGGUCAUCAGGUGUAACGAGCCACACCCAUGUCUAGCUAGAGUAGUGUGCUAGGCUCAGACUAGAGAAGAAACGGGGAACAAACUGAUGAAAGAAUGAUCAUACCGAGGGAAUUCACUCAGAACUAACAAUAAUGAUAACGUGCUCCGACUAGAGCGGUUUAGGAACUGCUGGAAGGCUCUAGGGGAAUAAAGAUGGAAUGACUUCUAAUUUUUAGGUCCCUAUGAUUUGAAAUACUUGCACACAAACCGCGUGAAAGCAUUCCUGGAAAUUUCAGCCCAAAAAAGGACGUUUAGUAAUUUUAAAAGGGACUACACGAUGAAAAAGAAUAGUUUUGGCAGUUAAAGUUUGAGAUUCGACGGUGCCGUAGAUCCGUUUGGUCAUCAGGUGUUACGAGACACACCCAUGUCUAGCUAGAAUAGUAUGUUAGGCUCGGGUUAGAGAAGAAACGGGGAACAAACUGAUGAAAGAAUGAUCAUACCAAGGGAAUUCACUCAGAACUAACAAGAAUGAUAACGUGCUCCGACUGGAGCGGUUUAGGAACUGCUGGAAGGCUCUAGGGGAAUAAAGAUGGAAUGACUUCUAAUUUUUACGUUCGUAUGAUUUGAAAUACUUGCAAACAAACCACGCAAAAGCGUUCCUGGAAAUUUCAUCCUAAAAAAGGACGUUUAGUAAUUCUAAAAGGGACUACAGGAUGAAAAAUAAUAGUUUGGGCAGUUAAAAUUUGAGAUUCGAUGGUGCCGUAGAUCCGUUUGGUCAUCAGGUGUUACGAGCCACACCCAUGUCUAGCUAGAAUAGUGUGUUAGGCUCAGGCUAGAGAAGAAACGGGGAACAAACUGAUGAAAGAAUGAUCAUAUCGAGGGAAUUCACUCAGAACUAACAAGAAUGAUAACGUGCUCCGACUGGAGCAGUUUAGAAACUGCUGGAAGGCUCUAGGGGAAUAAAGAUGGAAUGACUUCUAAUUUUUAGGUCUGUAUGAUUUGAAAUACGUGCACACAAACCCCGAGAAAGCGUUCCUGGAAAUCUCGUCCGGAAAAAGGAUGUUUAAUAAUUCUAAAAGGGACUACAGGAUGAAAAACAAUAGUUUUGGCAGUUAAAGUUUGUGAUUCGAUGGUGCCGUAGAUCUGUUUGGUCAUCAGGUGUUACGGGCCACACCCAUGUCUAGCUAGAAUAGUGUGUUAGGCUCAGGCUAGAGCAGAAAC